This 228-nucleotide ribosomal RNA is filed under the name uncultured bacterium. RNAcentral describes it as "partial 16S ribosomal RNA". It matches the Rfam family "Bacterial small subunit ribosomal RNA", at positions 524 to 751 of the family's 1533-position model. The record is from RNAcentral.
UACGUAGGGGGCAAGCGUUGUCCGGAUUUAUUGGGCGUAAAGAGCGUGUAGGCGGCCAUACAGGUCAGCUGUGAAAACUCGAGGCUCAACCUCGAGACGUCGGUUGAAACCGUAUGGCUAGAGUCCGGAAGAGGAGAGUGGAAUUCCCGGUGUAGCGGUGAAAUGCGCAGAUAUCGGGAAGAACACCCGUGGCGAAGGCGGCUCUCUGGGACGGUACUGACGCUGAGA